Molecule: RNA transcript, 1712 nt
Organism: Neltuma alba
Lineage: Eukaryota; Viridiplantae; Streptophyta; Magnoliopsida; Fabales; Fabaceae
Gene name: pentatricopeptide repeat-containing protein At1g71490-like
Exons: 3
Source: RefSeq, a predicted model, not a curated record
UUAUUUUAUGCCGCCUUCAACGUUGUUUUCAGUGUCAAGAAAUCAAUUCUUGUCUCAAGUUUAAAUGUUCAUACCAAAAUCAUGGAAGCCACUCACUUGCCAAGUUGAUACACAAACCGUUCCUGGUGAUGCAUCUAUGAUUGGGCUCUCUUCAUGCAUCUCUCAGAGAGUUUGUAAGAUAGAAUAGUUAUCAAAUGCAUCUGGAGUAUUUUCUCAAAUCCAGAGCCAUGCGUCUUCUUUUGGUUCUUUUGACCUUAUAUUACAUCCCAUUAGCACUCUUCUUUUAUCUUGCAUCAACCUUAAAUCACUGCCACAGAGUAAGCAAGUUCAUGUCCAGAUUAUUUCACUUGGUUUUGAUUAACACCCCAUUAUGGUUCCUAGGCUCAUCACUUUUUAAUGCAAGUGUCGAUCUUCUCGCUGAUGCUCAAGUUGCUAUCGAAGCCACUAAUUUUUUGGACCCUUUACCUUGGAAUUUGCUCAUGUCGUCCAAUGUUAGAAAUGGACUUUUUCCAGAGGCUACUUCUGUCAGUAAGAAAAUGAUGAAUAAGCAGGUUAAACCAGGCAAUUUCACUUAUCCAUCUGUUCUCAAGGCUCGUGGUGAAGCGUUGGAUUGUGUUGCUGGCGUGGAGAUUCACAAGUCUAUUGAAACGAGCUCUCUGGUGUGGAGUUUGGUAGUGCACAAUGCAUUGGUCUCCAUGGAUGGUAGGUUUGGGAAAGUGGAGGCUGCCCGUGAUUUGUUUAAUCAUAUGCCUGCGGAUAGAGAUUCUGUUUCAUGAAAACACUAUGAUAGAUACUUAUGCCUUUAGGAAUAUGUAGGAGGAAGCAUUUCAGCUCUUUAAAAGCAUGUGCAAGGAGGGUGUUGAAUGGCUAUAAUCACACGGAGCACCAUUGCUGGGGCGUGCUUGUGAACAACCAAUUUCAGGAGUUCACUUCUUUUGAUUUCUAAAACGAGAAUAUCUAUUCAUCAUUUAGUGUGUGUUUGGAUCCACGAUUGGAUCUCGAAUAAGUGGCUUUUAGAGUGUUAAGCACGUUUGGGCUCUGGUUGUUGUUAAGGGCCAAAAGUUGUUUGAAUUUGGCUUUUUCAGAAGCUGCUCCCUUGCUUAUGCUUGUAGCUAAUAGUGCUUAUGAUGUUGGUAGGACUGUUAUAACAAUUAUUGGUGGCUUAGAAAAAUAUUAUUCUCUCUCCUCUUCCUCAUAUUUGUCUCGUGCUUCACGCACCUCCUCUGUCUUCGAGCUUGUCUUGUCGCCUUGUUAGAUCAAUCGCCAGUCGUGGUCGCCAUCAGCGGUUCAUGCUUUCCAUGGCCAGCUUGUGCUCGCCGUGGGAAAGUCGAGGUCAAUCUGUGCUCGCUGUUCUUCUACCCUUCUGGCUUCGUCAGCUCUGUUCUUAGCGUGUGGAAGUCGCAGUCGCUGUCUCCAACAAGUCUUUGGCAUCGCUAGUUCAUGCUCGUCGUUGUGUGUGGGUAGGUUGGCCUGAAAUCAUCUUUUCUUGUCAAAUCUCCUCCUCUUAGGUCGCAUGGGUCCCGGAUUUGGUGCAGGUAUUAACUGAAUACAUUCUUGUCUCUGUAAGUAGUGCAGUCACAGUCACAGUAGCAGGGGUGGUCGAGGAGGCUGUCUCCGUUUUGGAAACAUCAUACAAUGGCCAAUUGGAAUGCUGACUCACUGUGAAAUGAAGAUACAUUGACGAAUUGGAAUAAUGAUUCAUAGUGGAAGGG